RNAcentral lists this transfer RNA (61 nucleotides) under Proasellus coiffaiti. RNAcentral describes it as "transfert RNA-G(GGA)". Lineage: Eukaryota; Metazoa; Arthropoda; Malacostraca; Isopoda; Asellidae. The record is from RNAcentral.
ACCUAAAUAGUAUAACUAAGUACAAUAAGUUUCCAACUUGAAGGUUCGUUAGAUUUAGGUA